CUCCAGUGCUGAAGGAUAGGCCGGAUCCAUCAGCCCUGCUGGGCCAAGGCCCCACCUUUUUCUGUGUGUGUGGACCCCAGCACAGACACUUCUUGGUUUGUCAGUGGAGAGCACGCUCCUUCUCCCCUCUGCCCCUAGAAGCUGCAGGAGCUAAGAGCUCACUGCUGGGCAGCCCCACCUGGAGUGUCUUAUCUUUCAUCGCCUUGGAGUGGUUGUGUUGGCUACCCUCCUUUCUUGAUCUGAUUGAAAUGAAUGGGCCAAGUAGCAAAAUAUCCAUGAUUGCCCUCCCAGGAUGAGGACCUGCGCUUUGGAAGGCCUCUUCUCAUCCUAGGGGCAGCGACUGUGACACUGACUCUACCCACACUCACUGCUGCGUCAUGGUCCUGGGAGUUUUUGCUGACUCUCUCACCCUGAGACGCAUGGUAUUCUGUAGGGUUUGCCUCAUCUGUUCUCCACUGUCUUCCCUAUUCUCACAUCAUAGCCCCGGCUAAUACCUAACACCUCGAAUUCUCUCUGUUUCCUGCCAACACUGACCUUUCUCACUGCCUGGAAACACCCCCACCUGCGUGCUCCAUGGGUGUCUUGAACUCUGUAUGUUCAAAACUAACUUUUCUGUCUUCACCCCAAAGCCAGUGUGCCUCCUCAUGUUCCCAAGCUAAGACAGUUAGUGUCCCAAACUGAAAACUGUCCCCAUUUGAAACUCCUUUUUGUCCCUCACCCCUCCCUCUCAUAUCUAAUCAAUUGCAAAGUCUAGCCAUUUCUACUCCAACAAUAACCUUAAAUCCACUUUAUGUUACCCAUCGCUGCCAUUCCUGCCUUGGUUAAGGCACUAUCACAUUUGUCUCUAACCACCUCCUUGCUGGUCUCCCUGCCGCCCUUAGACUCCCACAGACCCUUCCAGAGUGAUUUUUCUAAGCACCAGAGCUGUUAUGCCCCUGCCUAAUGCCCUUGUCCCUUUUUCCCCACCAGCCUGACUCCCCCUCACUGUGCCCUGGGUUGCAGUCACACAAGGCUGCCACAGUUCCCUGAGCAGCCAAAACCUUCAUGCUUCUUCCUCCAUGUCCUUUCCCAUUCUCUAGACUCAGCCAGACACCGCCUUUCUUGAGAAGUCAUCUGAGUUCCCUGAAGAACACUCUUUCCUUCCUCUUCCUUCCCACACCCCCCCUUUUCUCUUUUACCUUGGUACUCAUGGUGCCACGCUGAGAUUGUUAACAAGCCUGACUGCCGCUGGAUUGCAGGACACCUCAGGGGCACGGCCCCUUGUCACAUUUAGUUUUGCUCCCUACCAAGUACCUGGUCCUUAGUAAAUGUUCCUACCAUAUGGAAAGAAAGACAAAAAGAAGGGCUCAGUGGAGAUUUUCUACUCAACCUGGUUGUGCUGGAUUUUUAAUGUCUGCCUCCUCAGCAGGCAUCCCCACUUCAUGUAACUAUGGCUCCUGGUAUCUAGGGGGGUACCCUCUCCUCCUGUCUGGGAACGCAAUGCUCUGGGGGCAGCUCACGUUCAGGCUUAAACAGAGCCAAUCAGCACAGCACAUUCCUGUGGCUUUGGUGAAUCACUCCCUCCCCCGUGCUUCACUUUUCAUCUUUUAAGAAGGUUCUCUUUCCUGCUGGACUUGAACCAGGGGAGAUGUAAGUCUGGGGCUGCUCUCACCUUCUUGCCGCUGUGUGGAGCCUGCAAAUGACAGUGAUUCCUGGAGGGGAGCAGAGCUGAGCACAUAGGUAUGGAGAAGACAUAAUUAAGGUAAGGAUCAAGACGAGAUCACACUGGAAAAGGUGGGCCCUAAAUCCAGUGAGAGGAUAGGAAGGCCAGCACUCUUAUUCUGUCCUAAUAAGAGACAGAGACGGGCACACAGAGACACAGAAGAAGGCCAUGUGUUGAUGGAGGCAGAGACUGGAGUGAUGCCGUCCCAAGCCAGGGAGUGCCUGGCUCCGCCAGGCACUGGAAGAGGCACUGAAUGGAUGCUUCUCGAGAGCCUUUGGAGGGAGCAUGACCCUGCUGACACCUUGAUUUUGCACUUCUGGCUUCUGGAACUAUGAGAGGGAGUCCUCUGUGGUAAACUGGUGGAGUCCAAAGCAAUUGUGUUUGACAAAUAAAACCGAAUGAUCUGGGUGAUGAAAACGUAAUAGCAAAAGACCAAUCCUGAAGAAUCCUCAGGGCCCGGGUGAGGAGGGAGGUGAAGCUCCAGCUCUGCUGUACCUAAAGUCUGACAAAUAAAAGUCCUGAGAAUGGAGGAGGUCUGGAUGUAAAUGUCUUGUCUCCAGGGGUCUCUACCAGCUGAGCAUGCCCAUGUUCUGUGU
This 2298-nucleotide long non-coding RNA is filed under the name Homo sapiens (human). RNAcentral's name for it is "HSALNT0098282". Lineage: Eukaryota; Metazoa; Chordata; Mammalia; Primates; Hominidae. The record is from RNAcentral.